Non-coding RNA from Cricetulus griseus (Chinese hamster), 172 nucleotides. The record is from RefSeq and is a predicted model, not a curated record. Lineage: Eukaryota; Metazoa; Chordata; Mammalia; Rodentia; Cricetidae.
AUGGAACUAGAAGAAACCAUCCUGCAUGAGAUAACCCAGUUACAAAAAGACAAACAUGAGAACAGAAGAAGUCUUUAAAACUCCUGGAACUGGAAUUUCAGACUGUUGUGAGACUCCACAGGGCUUUGAACUAUGGUCCUCUGAAUGAAUAAACGGUGCUCAUACCCACUUA